Molecule: ribosomal RNA, 253 nt
Filed under: uncultured bacterium
Lineage: Bacteria
Description: partial 16S ribosomal RNA
Rfam family: Bacterial small subunit ribosomal RNA
Source: RNAcentral
UACGUAGGGUGCAAGCGUUGUCCGGAAUUAUUGGGCGUAAAGGGUAGGUAGGUGGUCUCAUUUGUCUGGGGUGAAAGCCUUGAGCUUAACUCAAGAAGUGCCCCGGAAACGGUGAGACUGGAGUCCUGGAGAGGGUCGUGGAAUUCCCGGUGUAGCGGUGAAAUGCGUAGAGAUCGGGAGGAACACCAGAGGCGAAGGCGGCGACCUGGACAGGCACUGACACUCAACUACGAAAGCGUGGGGAGCAAACAGG